UCUGUAAAAAAACAAACACUGGUAAUGUGAAUGACUUUACAAAAAGACACUUCUCCCAAGUAGCUGGGACCACAAGUGUGAGCCACCACAUCCAGCUAAUUUUUGUAUUUUUAAUAGAGAGAGUGUUUCACCAUGUUGGCCAGGUCUUGAACUUACGUGGCCUCAAGUAAUCUACUCAUCUCGUCCUCCCAAAGGAAAUGAAAUCCCACAUGCUGGGAUUUCAGGCAUGUGCCACCAUGCCUGGCCACAAAAAUCAAUUUCUAAAACCUUUUCAGUCUCAGGUAAAAGCUACAGUAAUCUACCAGCCACUUAAACUAUUAUUCCAAAGAAUCCUUUUACUUAGCACAUACUAUUAUGAUGUGCUCUAGGCUAGUUACAUAUUAAAGAGUGAAGAGGGCUGGGCAUGGUGGCUCACACCUGUAAUCCCAGCACUCUGGGAGGCUAAGGCUGCCAGAUCACUUGAGGUCAGGAGUUUGAGACCAGUCUGACCAACAUAGUGAUACCCCAUCUCUACUAAAAAAUACAAAAUUUAGCUGGGCAUGGUGAUCCGUAUCUGUAAUUCUAGCUACUCGGAGGCUAGGGUAGGAGAACUGCUUGAGCCUAGGAGGCGGAGGCUGCAGUAAGUGGAGAUCAUGUCACUGCACUCUAGCCUGGGCAACGAGUAAGACUGUCUCAAAAGAAACAGAAAACAAACCCCACAAAACCUGUAAAAUCAGUUCUCCAAAUGAAAGACGUAAGAAAUACUACUAUAAACUGCAUAGAGUAUCAGUGAUGAACAAAAUUGCUUCUUUUAACAAAAAGAGGUAAAUAUGAUGCCAUGGGUAUCCCUCAGACUUGGUGAAACAAGUUAUUAUUCCUAAUGAUGGGAAUAAGGAAUGGAAAAGUAUUCUUUGCUGAAAAGAAAGGUUUUUCAAAACAACUGGGGAUGAGCACAGUGGCUCAUGCCUAUAAUCCCAGCACUUUGGGAGGCCGAGGCGGGUGGAUCACGAGGUCAAGAGAUGGAGACCAUCCUGGUCAACAUGAUGAAACCCCCGUCUCUACUAAAAAUACAAAAAUUAGCUGGGCAUGGUGGCGCAUGCCUGUAAUCCCAGCUACUCAGGAGGCUGAGGCAGGAGAAUUGCCUGAACCCAGGAGGCGGAGGUUGCAGUGAGCCGAGAUUGCGCCAUUGCACUCCAGCCUGGGUAACGAGCGAAACUCCAUCUCAAAAAAAUAAAAUUAAAUAAAAUUAAAAAAUAAAUAAAAGGGUACUGGAUUUUUGUCAAAUGUUUUCUCUGUGUCUUGAGAUGAUAUGUUUUUUGUUCUGAUUCUAUUCAUAUGAUAUGUUAAACCAAUUUUGCAUUUCAGAGAUAAAUCCUACUUGGUCAUGGCAUAUAACACCUUUUAUAUGUUGUUGGAUUUAGUUUAAUAUUUUGUUGAGGAUAUUUUUUUGUCUAUACUCAGGAAGGAUACUGAUCUAUAGUUUCACAAUUGCCUUUUCAUUGGUGAGUUUAGGCCAUCUGUAAUCUUGGCUGAUCUUCCAGUUUAUUAUUUGCUAUUUAUUCUAUUUUUUUAAUUUUCUGUGUUCCUAUACCUGCAUUCUUCUAGAUUAUUUGAAGACUUUUCAAAAUUUCAUUUUAAUUUAUCUACUGUAUAUCUGACUAAAUUCUUUUGCAAAGUUUUAGUAGUUGCUCUAGGUCUAUAUAGAUACAUAGCUUUUUAUAGUCUGCAUAGAAUUAGUACUUUACCACCACUUCAGGUGGAAUGUAGAAAUCUUACCACCAUAUUAGAUAUGUUUCUUUCCCUCUUUAUGUUGUAAAUGUCUUAUCUGUUACCUCUGCAUAUGUUGAAAACCUCAUCAGAAUGUUGUAAUUUCUGUAUUCAGCCAUCAAAUAUAUUUUUGUUUUAUUUAUUUGGACAGUCUCGCUUAUUGAUUUCUUGAGACAGAGUCUCGCUCUGUUGCGCAGGCUGGAGUGCAAUGGCAUAAUCUUGGCUCACUGCAACCUCCGCCUCCUGGGUUCAAGCAGUUCUCUUGCCUCAGCCUCCCAAGUAGCUGGGAUUACAGGCGCAUGCCACCAUGCCCAGCUAAUUUUUUAAUAGAGACAGGCUUUCACCAUGUUGGCCAGGCUGGUCUCGAACUCCUGACCUCAGGUGAACCAGGUGCCUUGGCCUCCCAAAGUGUUGGGAUUAUAGACAUGAGCCACCGUGCCCAGCCAUCAAAUGUAUUUUAAAGUAGUGGUUCCUAACCAUUUUGGCACCAGGGACCAGUUUCAUGGAAGACAAUUUUUCCAUGGAUAGGGAAUCCGGGGAAUGGUUUUAGGACGAAACUGUUCCACCUCAGAUCAUCAGACAUUAGAUUCUCAUGAGGAACACCCAAACUAGACCCCUUGCAUGUGCAGUUCACAACAAGGUUCGCAUUCCUAUGAGAAUUCCUAUGAUGCUACUGAUUUGACAGGAGCCAGAGCUUGUGUGGCAAUGCUUGCUCACCUGAUACUCACCUCCUGCUGCGCAGCCUGGUUCCUAACAAGGUACCAGACCAUGGCCUGGGGCUUGGGGACCCCUGUUUGUUUUAAAGAAUUCAAUAGGAGAAGAACCAUCUAUUAUAUUUGCAGAUGUUUCUGUUGCUGUUUCUUCAUUCCUUAAGUUUCUUUCUGUCUUAAGAAUUUUCUUGGUUGUUUUAUAGGAGGUCUGCUGGCAAUGAUUUCCCUUAGUUUUCCUUCAUGAGAAUAUUUAUUUGACCUCCAAUUCUGAAAGAUGUUUUCAGUAGAUACAGAAUUUUGAUCAUUCUUUUCUUUUUUUUCAUUUUGGGUGCCACACCCUGGGAGAUAAUUCUUUUUUCUUUUAAUACUUUACAAAUGCUAUUCCAUUCUCUUCUAACCUGCAGAGUUUCUGAUGAGCACUCUGUAGUCACUGACACUGUUGUCUUGUGAGUUUUCUUUGUCUUUAGUUUUCAGCAGUUUGUUUAUGGUAAGUCUGGGCAAUUAUUUAUUUGCGUUUAUCCUGUUUUGGGUUUGCUGAGGUUUUUGAAUCUCUAGGUUUACAUAUUUCACCAAAUUUGGUAAUUUUUCAGCUAUUAUUUCUUCAAGUAUUUUUUCUUCACUAUACUUUUUUCCUCUCUUUCUGUGACUUCAAUGACAUAAAUGUUAGAUCUUUAGAUAUUGUCUCACAAUCUCUUUUCUGUGUUCAGACUGGAUAAUAUCCAUUGAAUAAACUUCAAAGUUGACCAACUGUUUUUUCUCUCAUUUCCAUUCUACUGUUGAACCCAUCCAGUGAGGUUUUAGCUCUGUUAACUAUAUUCUUCAGCUCUGUAAUCUCUAUUUCAUUCUCUUUAUGUCAUCUAUUUUUGGCUGACAGUUUAUACCUUUCAUUUCAGUAAAAUUCACUCUUACUUGUUGGAACAGUUUAAUAAUGGCUUCUUUAAAGUCCCUGUCACAUAAUUCCAACAUCUGUAUCAUCUAGGAGUUGGCUUCUGUUGACACUCUUUUCCCAUGCAAGUUAAGAUUUUUCCUUGUUCUUUGGUACCAAGUAAUUUUGGACCCUUUCAAUAUUAUGCUAUCAGACUCUGGGUCUCGUUUAAAUACUACAAAAAAUGUUUUAUAUUCUUGUUGCAUGUGCAUGUGUAUAUUUGAGACAGGGACUCACUCGUUGGAAUGCAUGGCAUGAUCAUGGCUCACUGAAGCCUCAACUUCCUGGGCUCAAGUGAUCCUCCCCGCUCAGCCUCCUGAGUAGCUGGGGCUAUAGAUGCACACUACCAUGCCUAGCUAACUUUUGUAUUUUUUUUUGUAGAGAUGGGAUCUCCUUAUGUUAUACAGAUUGGCUUCAAAUUCCUGGGCUCAAGCAGUCCUCCCACCUCGGCCUCCUGAAGUGCUAGGACUAGAGGCAUGAACCAUACCACACACCUAGCCCACAUUCUUGUUUUAGAAGUUAUAGAUCUGGUUGUGUCCAGGCCACGAGUUCUGACCACCCUUCUAUAGGUUGUGGUUCCAAUGUCAGUUCAGUUUCCAAAGUCUUUGCAAUGCUAUUCGUAGCAAUUAAGACAUGUGCACCAGGUAGUGGCCAGUCUAGAAUUUGGGCAGUGGUGAUCUAUCUUAUACAUAGUUAAGUUCUAAAAGUCUACAUAUGCUAGGGAAGCCCAUUUUUAUUCAUUUUGGUAAAAAUGUAUUAGUAGGUGCUGGAUUUAAUCAAAUAUUUUUUUCCCUAGCAUUUAUUGAGUUGAUGGUAUUGUUUCUGCCAAUUCUCACUUAUAGUGGUUUAUGUCCUUGCACGUUUGAUGAUUUUUGAGUGAAUUCAUAUUUGAUUUAUACUAAUCUUUAAGAAGUUUCUUUUCAGAUGUUCUAGCCUCUAUGAGAGACCCCCACUUAAUAAAGAAAUCUCAGGUUCAGAGUUCCUUCCUGUAGCUGACUUUUGAAAAUAAUGAGUGGACCGUGUUAUCAAGCUUGCUUCUGUUCCCCAUUUUGGUUUUAAUGCAUGUAUUUGCAUGUAUAUGGUUUUUGUAUCUAUUGAGGGAAUGAGAUAAGAGAUUAUCAUUAUUUUCUGUAAAUGCACAACGCAUUAAUAAAUAUUCUAUCCAGGAGCUCACUGUUCUGUACUGGAAGAGUCCACUAAGAAUUAAACUUCUUUUUUUUUUUUUUUGUAUUUUUUUUGGUGACUACCUCUAAAAGUCUAAGGUUAAGUCUAAAAGUAAGCAACAUAAGACUCCAACAGACAAUUCCUGUCUGGUAUAUUUCCUUCCACUGUUGAAAACCACCCAAAUUGGCCAGGUGUGUUGCCUAGAAUCCCAGCAGUUUGAGAGGCUUAGGUUGGAGGAUUGCUUGAAUCCAGGAGUUUGACACCAGCCUAUGCAAUAAAGUGAGAUCCGGUCUCUACAAAAAUUAAAUAUUAGCCAGGCACAGUGGUGUACAUCUGUAUUCCCAGCUACUUGGGAGUUUGAGGCAGGAGGACCACUUGAGCCCAGGAGGCUGAAGCUGCAAUGAGCCAUGACUGCAUCACUGCACUCUAACCUGGGUGAUGGAGUGAGACCCUGUCUCAAAAAAACUCCACAAAACUGCCCAAAUUAAUUGUUAUUACUAUUGUUCUAAAAAGCCAAUGCUAACUGAAAUGAAUUGCCUUUUUCACCAUUGUUUCUUACAUUCAUAUUCCUUCUAUUUUCUUCUUCCUCAAGUAUACACUUAAGUAGUUUCUUCUAUUUUUCAAGAUGGAGUCCCUUCUAUCACCCAGGCUGGAGUGCAGCAGCACUCGGCUCACUGCAGCCUCUGCCCCCCAGGUUCAAGUGAUUCUCGUGCCUCAGCCUCCCAGGUAACUGGGACAACAGGAAUGUGCCACCAUGCCCAGCUAAUUUUUGUAUUUUUAGUAGAGAUGGGGUUUCACCACGUUGGCCAGACUGGUUUCAAACUCCUGACCUCAAGUGAUCCACUGGCCUCAGCCUCCCAAAGUGCUGGGAUUACAGGUAUAAGUCACUGUGCUGAGUCCUCUUGUUUCUUAAAUCAGUUUGAAAAUGAUUAUUAUUUCACCAUCAUUUUUGAAAGACUGUUCAGGUGGGGCACAGAAUUUCAGGUCAAAAGUUACUUUUUCUUUCUUUCUUUUUUUUGAGACAGAGUCUCGCUCUUGUUACCCAGGCUGGAGUGCAAUGGCACGAUCUCGGCUCAUCGCAACCUCCGCCUCCUGGGUUCAGGCAAUUCUCCUGCCUCAGCCUCCUGAGUAGCUGGGAUUACAGGCAUGCGCCACCACACCCAGCUAAUUUUUUUUGUAUUUUUAGUAGAAACAGGGUUUCACCAUGUUGACCAGGAUGGUCUCCAUCUCUUGACCUCGUGAUCCACCCGCCUCGGCCUCCCAAAGUGCUGGGAUUACAGACAUGAGCCACCACGCCUGGCCUCUCUUUCAAUUAAAUAUUGGAGUACAAUUAAAUAUGAGUACAAUGUCUCAUGCCUAUAAUCCUAACACUUUGGGAUGCUGAGAUGGGUGGAUCACUUGAGCCCAAGAGUUUGAGACCAGACUGGUCAACAUAGUGAGAUUCCAUCUCUACCAAAACUUUAAAAAACAUUAGGUGGGCAUCGUGGCAUAUCCCUAUAGUUCCAGGUACUCAGGAAGUUGAGGAGCUAAACCGAGGAGGUUGAGGCUGCAGCGAGCUGUGAUCACACCAAUGCCUCCAGCCUGGGCAAGAGGAUAAGACUCCGUCUCCAAAAAUUUAUGUAAUAAUUUAAAAACAAAAAUAAAGAUUUUAGUUCAUUGUCUUAUGCUGCACUUCAAAAAUCUGUUUUCAGCCUAUUGGUCUUUCCUUUUUAGGUAAUUAGUCUUUUCUCUUGGAAGCUUUUAGCUUUCAUUAUCCCUGGUAUUCUCCAGUUUUACCUCACAACAUACAUCUAGAUGUAGGUUUCUAUUAAUUUAUCUUGUUUGGGACUUUGCUUUCUUAUGCUGAGAAAUUCACAUCCUGGAAAUUACAGUCAUUGUUAUUUUCUCUGCUGGGGAGAUCAGAAGCUGGAAGUGCCCUUCCUUCCUUUUAUGUAUGUAGGUUGUGUAUUGGACUUUCUCAUUCUGUCUUCUGUCUCUCUUCUAUUUGUCUUGCUGUGUUCCAUUCUAGGUAAUCUACUCAGAGCUGUAUCCUCCAGUUCUCUAACUUUAUCUUCAAUUAUGGAUAUUAACCUCUUAUCAGACAUACCAGAAGAUGAGACGAAGCUAGAGGAAGAAUUAAUGAACUGAAACACAGGCAAGAAAUUAUUGGAACUGCAGCACAGAAAGACAAACAGAUGGAGAACAGAUGAGAGAGAUUAAAAAAUGUGGGGGACAGACUGAGAGGGACAAAGAAGAUGUUGGAGGCAAAAUGUGAAGACAUAAGACUGAAAAUAUAGAUGUAAUGAUAUACACCAAUCUAUCAAUUCAAUAAGUUACUAGACUCCCAUGUGGAAGCUGCAAAACCAAAAAAAAGCCCUAGAAUUCCAUACCUCGUGAAAAUACCCUUUAAGAAUGAAGUCGGGGGUGGGUGAGGUGGCUUACACCUAUAAUCCCAGCACUUUAGGCGGCUGAGGUUGAGCACUUUAGGAUCCUGCCUUCAAAUGAUCCUACCGGGUGAGCAACAUAACAAAACCCCAUCUAUAUUUUAAAAAAUAUAAAAAUUAGCCAAGUGUGGUGGUACACACCUGUAGUCCUAGCUACUCAGGAGGCUGAGAUGGGAAGUUCAAUUGAGUCCAGGAGGUAGAGGCUAACAAGCUAUGAUCGCACCACUGCACUUCAGCCUUGGUGACAGGGAGACACCCAUCUCUAAAAACAUUUUUAAAAAUAAGGAAAGAAGAAUAAAAUGGGAGGAAUCAACCCUCUUGAUUUUAAGUUUUAUUAUACAUAGCUACAGUAUUCAAGACAGUGUGAUACUGAUAGAGGGACAGAAACCUAGAUCAAUGGAACACAUCAGACAACUGUAGAAAUAGACAAACAGGCCAUGAAUGGCAGCUCACACCUGUAAUCCCAGCACUUUGGGAGGCUAACAGGGGAGGAAUGUUUGAGCCCGGGAGUUCAAGACUAUCCUGGCUAACACAGUGAAACCCUGUCUCUACUAAAAUUACAAAAAUUAGCUGGGCAUGAUGGCACAUACCUGUAAUCCCAGCUACUCAGGAGGCUGAGGCAGAAGAACUGCUUGAACCAGGGAGUUGGAGGUUGCAGUGAGCCCAGAUCAUGCCACUGCACUCCAGCCUGGUGACAGAGCAAGUCUACGUCUCAAAAAAAAUUAAAAAACAAAAAACAAAAACAACUUCCGGGGCCGGAUGCGGUGGCUCAUGCCUGUAAUCCCAGCACUUUGGGAGUCCAAGGCGGGUGGAUCACGAGAUCAAGAGAUCAAGACCAUCCUAGUCAACAUGGUGAAACCCCAUCUCUACUAAAAAUACAAAAAAUUAGCUGGGCACAGUGGCGCAUGCCUGUAAUCCCAGCUACUCAGGAGGCUGAGGCAGGAGAAUUGCCUGAACCCAGGAGGCAGAGGUUGUGGUGAGCCGAGAUCGCGCCAUUGCACUCCAGCCUGGGUAACAAGAGCGAAACUCAGUCUCAAAAAAAAACUUCCUUUAUUAAAAAGCAAAACCCAGACAAUCAAGAAUUCCAAGACAUGACAGUGAGAUCCUAUCUUUAAAAAAAUAGCUGGGCGCAGUGGCUCAGGCCUGUAAUCCUAGCACUUUGGGAGACCAAGGUGGGUGGAUCACCUGAGGUCAGGAGUUCAAGACCAUCCUGGCCAUCAUGGUGAAAUCCCAUUUUUAAAAAAUAAGAGAAAGACUGGCUAUGAAAUAAAUAUAUUUACUCAUCUUAUUUGACCUAUCAGCCACAUUUUACAGAGCUGACCCUCAGUAGUCCCAUGUAGUCACAACUUUAAUCAUGCUAUACCUAUGUUAAAGAGAUACUGUUCCACAGUUCUUGGAUGCUCUAUUUUUCUUCCCACCCUUUCCUUUUUUCUUUGUUUUCAUUGUGGGUAAUGUCUACUGACCUAUCUUCAAGUUCACUGAUUCUUUUCUUAGCUGUGUCAAGUCUACUAAUAAACACAAACACAUACUUCACCUGUCACCUUUUUUUUUUUUUUUUUUUUGAGACAAGGCCUCACUCUGACACCCAGGCUGGAGUGCAGUGGUGUAAUGCUGGCUCACUGCAACCUCUGCCCACUGGGCUCAAGCAAUCCUACCACCUCAGCCUUGCAAGUAACUGGGGCUGCAGGGUGUAUACUACCAUGCCUGGCUAUUUUUUGUGUGUGUUUAUUUUUAGUAGAAAUGAGGGCCUGUCAUGUUGCCCAGGUUGGUCUUGAACUCCUAAGCUCAAGCCAUCUGCCUGCCUUGGCCUCCCAAAGUUCUCAGAUUAUAGGUGUGAGCCACCACACCUGGCCACCAUUUUUAUUUCUAACAUUUCCACUUGACUAUUCAUAUAGUUUCCUCUGCUGAAAUUCUCCAGCUAGCCACACAUGUUUUCUACUUUUCCUGCUGGAGCCUUGAACAUACUAUUCAUUGUUAUUUGAAAUUCACUCUCUGUAUAACUCGCUCAAGACAGUAAUUAAAAAAAAAAAAUUCACUCUCUGAU
This is a non-coding RNA of Callithrix jacchus (white-tufted-ear marmoset), 9012 nucleotides long. Lineage: Eukaryota; Metazoa; Chordata; Mammalia; Primates; Cebidae. The record is from RefSeq and is a predicted model, not a curated record.